GGGAAAGUGGCUCAGUGGUAGAGCGCUUGCCUUGCCUGCAUGAGGACCUGGGUUCGAUUCCUCAGCACCA
Non-coding RNA from Dipodomys ordii (Ord's kangaroo rat), 70 nucleotides. Lineage: Eukaryota; Metazoa; Chordata; Mammalia; Rodentia; Heteromyidae. The record is from Rfam.